This is a small nucleolar RNA of Eubalaena glacialis (North Atlantic right whale), 92 nucleotides long. RefSeq annotates it as small nucleolar RNA SNORD116. The transcript has a single exon. NCBI's taxonomy places the organism in Eukaryota, Metazoa, Chordata, Mammalia, Artiodactyla, Balaenidae. The record is from RefSeq and is a predicted model, not a curated record.
GGAUCGGUGAGGACUCCCAUAAAUGCAUUCCUUGGAAAUAUGAACAAAAUGGGUGAGAAAUACCUACCAUCUUCUCAUCCUAACUGAGGGCC